ACAGUGCCCGCCGAAGGGCGGGAGAAUAGGGAAUCGUGUGCAAAUCACGAGCGGAACCGCCGCUGUAAGCGCGAAUAAGGACGGAUCCGGCGAAGAACCGGUCAUUGGGGACACCCGAGAAGACGAUCCGUCCGUGCGCGAGCCAGAAGACCUGCUGUGUAUC
RNAcentral lists this non-coding RNA (163 nucleotides) under bovine gut metagenome. The record is from RNAcentral.